RNAcentral lists this ribosomal RNA (606 nucleotides) under Trichosporon asahii. RNAcentral's name for it is "eukaryotic LSU rRNA". It matches the Rfam family "Eukaryotic large subunit ribosomal RNA", at positions 58 to 653 of the family's 3401-position model. The record is from RNAcentral. Lineage: Eukaryota; Fungi; Basidiomycota; Tremellomycetes; Trichosporonales; Trichosporonaceae.
AAAGAAACUAACAAGGAUUCCCCUAGUAACGGCGAGUGAAGCGGGAAGAGCUCAAAUUUGAAAUCUGGCAGUCUUCGAUUGUCCGAGUUGUAAUCUAUAGAGGCGUUUUCCGUGCCGGACCGUGUCCAAGUCUCCUGGAAAGGAGUAUCAAAGAGGGUGAUAAUCCCGUACUUAACACGACCACCGGUGCUCUGUGAUACGUCUUCUACGAGUCGAGUUGUUUGGGAAUGCAGCUCAAAAUGGGUGGUGAAUUCCAUCUAAAGCUAAAUAUUGGCGAGAGACCGAUAGCGAACAAGUACCGUGAGGGAAAGAUGAAAAGCACUUUGGAAAGAGAGUUAAACAGUACGUGAAAUUGUUGAAAGGGAAACGAUUGAAGUCAGUCGUGUUCUUUGGAUUCAGCCAGUUCUGCUGGUCUACUUCCUUGGAACGGGUCAACAUCAGUUUUGUCCGGUGGAUAAAGGUAGUAGGAAUGUGACUUCUCCGGAAGUGUUAUAGCCUAUUAUCACAUACACUGGGUGAGACUGAGGACUGCAGCUCGCCUUUAUGGCCGGCCUUCGGGCACGUUCGAGCUUAGGAUGUUGACAUAAUGGCUUUAAACGACCCGUC